This is a long non-coding RNA of Nicotiana tabacum (common tobacco), 504 nucleotides long. RefSeq lists it as uncharacterized. NCBI's taxonomy places the organism in Eukaryota, Viridiplantae, Streptophyta, Magnoliopsida, Solanales, Solanaceae. The record is from RefSeq and is a predicted model, not a curated record.
CCUAAACCUAAAUCCCCGUUCUUCCUCGACCUUUUCCUUCUUCUAUCUUCCCUCUUUCUCUAUUUCGAAGCAUUAUCAAAAAUGGAAGGCACCUUGUAUUGUUAUUGUGGUAAAGGGUAGAAUUGAUAAUUUCGUGGUCACAAAAUAACCCCGGUCGCAGGUAUCUUGGAUGCCAAUAUGGUCGAGAAGGGUGUAAGUAUUUAAGUGGCUUGAAGAUGAAUUUUCUGAACAAGCUAAGAUUGUAAUUUGGGGAUUUUUGAAGAGGAUCAAAAAAUACGACGAAGAAAAGGAGAAGAUGAGGAGAAAGUACAGAAUGUUGUUGGUCAUUGUGAUACUUGCUUGGAUUGUCUGAGAGUUUCUUAUGUAAUAUUUGCUAUGUUAGUUGAAAUUUAGUUGGUUGAAGGAGCUCUUUUGUGUAUUGGCAGUUAUGUAAACCAGUAGCUAUUUUGAAUGUUAUAAUGUAAGAAACUUAGAUGAAUACAAGUUGAAUCACUUUUGGACUAA